Molecule: long non-coding RNA, 650 nt
Organism: Bufo gargarizans (Asiatic toad)
Lineage: Eukaryota; Metazoa; Chordata; Amphibia; Anura; Bufonidae
Exons: 3
Source: RefSeq, a predicted model, not a curated record
GCUACUAUAUCUGCAUGGAUGACCGAGAUUGUCUCUUUGAAAUCUCCAUGAAUGGAUCUUUUUAAAUCUGCCAGCAUGUCCUGCAUUGCAUUGACAGUGAGUCCAGGGUCUAUGCCUGGUGAAGCAGGGUAAGUAUCAAGGGGAGGAAUAAAUGAAUGUUGCUCACUCACCCUUUUUUGUUUUUUAGGCUCCUGUGAAGCUGAAGGACUGGAGUCUGCUGAGGAGGGAGUCCCUGAAGAACGCUGGUCGGGUGUCGCUGCCGGAGAUACGCGGAGCUCUCCCUCUGUGUGGCGGGAGUCGGCGCCAUUUUGGAACGAGCCAGGAGCAGGGUGGAAGAACGCAGUCAUUUUCUGGGGCUGCGUUCCCUUCUUCUUCCCUCUCGUCAUCAUCAGACGAUCUGCGGGGACAAGGACCGUCCAGAGACAGGUUUUCAAUGCAAUGUGGGAAGAUCACAGAAGCAAGUAAAUCAAGAAAGUGGAAGACCGCGCUGCUUAAUACAACUCCUCCCUUCUUGUUUCCAGAAUGAAGAUUCCACUUGAUUAUUUUGCUUGUGUGCUUUUCAACCAAAAACCUGUGAGUCCGAACCCUUAUCUUAUCAUUAACAUGCAAACAUUGUAAAUGUUUUGCUUCUGAAACAUAUUUAGUCCUUA